UACGUAGGGUGCGAGCGUUAAUCGGAAUUACUGGGCGUAAAGCGCACGUAGGCGGAUUGUUAAGUCAGGGGUGAAAUCCUGGAGCUCAACUCCAGAACUGCCUUUGAUACUGGCAAUCUAGAGUCCGGAAGAGGUGAGUGGAACUCCUAGUGUAGAGGUGGAAUUCGUAGAUAUUAGGAAGAACACCAGUGGCGAAGGCGGCUCACUGGUCCGGUACUGACGCUGAGGUGCGAAAGCGUGGGGAGCAAACAGG
Molecule: ribosomal RNA, 253 nt
Filed under: uncultured bacterium
Lineage: Bacteria
Description: partial 16S ribosomal RNA
Rfam family: Bacterial small subunit ribosomal RNA
Source: RNAcentral